Molecule: non-coding RNA, 77 nt
Filed under: Spirosoma endophyticum
Lineage: Bacteria; Pseudomonadati; Bacteroidota; Cytophagia; Cytophagales; Cytophagaceae
Source: RNAcentral
UUGAGCCGGAUGUGUUGGAAGGCACAAGUCCGGUUCUGAGGAGGGAAGGGGGCCGCAAGGCUCCUGACCUAUCCGAC